UUAUAUGGAUUGUCAAGUUAUACUGAACUGAUUGAGUUGAGAAGGGCUGUCAAGCCGUGUCAGCAGGACCUGCGAUAAGCAGGAAGAGUUUCGCCGCCACGCGAAGUGAGGGAAGAGGAAGCGCCUUGACAGAGGAAGAACUCAGGCUUCCAUGGGACUAGGCAACACACGAGGGAGCAGCAAUGUCCCUCUGCUGAGUCACACACCAGCAGGAAAGUGGAGAGCAGGACAAAAAUGCAUGCAGGGUGAGUAGUGCAAGAUAUCUACAUCAGCAAGGAUAUUAAAGCAAAGAAUGGAUGCCAGUACUAAAUCUUGUAAGAUGGAAAGCUUUUCCUGAGUUUGGCUGAGGUGCCUCAUCCACCACAACUAUGACUUCUGCCAGGUAGCAGUUUCAAGGACACCUGAAGUACAAGUCUAGAGCUUCAUUCCAGGAAGGUGUGAACUGAAGAGGAGCAAGACCAUAUUGGACCAGCCUUUCUGGAACCUGAACUGUCAUGGAACCUCCAGCUGGUUCAUCUCCAAGCAUUGCAUCAUCAGAUCUUUGAUAAUCUCCAGGAUAUUGCCAGCAACUAACACUUAUUUUUUACCUCUACUUAGGUUAGAGAACAAUGGAUCACUGACAAUCAGGCCAAGUAAGAAUGAAUUUCCAGCUCAGGAAUGAAACUGUCAUUAGAUGGGAACAUUUAAUUGUUAGUUUCAUCAAUCUCAUUUAAUGGUUCAGUUCCUGGAAUGUUUACAUUUCAAAAUGUCACUUUUGAAUCCUAAAACUUGGUAUUUUAACUGCAAUAUGAAGAUGCAUUUUUUGUUUGAUUUUCUGUCUAUCUAUAUAACAGGCCAGCAGUCCCAUACAGGGUGGCCCAGGCAAAACAUGCACACAUACACCAUUCACUCUUAACCCUAUGGAAAUGGGUAGUUUUAUGGACCACUGUAGUACACCCCAGGAGCUUAGGCAUAGCACAGGUGACAACAUACAUCCAUAGCAAUGCCUGACAGCAUACACUAGUUUACCUGUCUCUUCAUAAUGGGACUGCUCCAAUCCUGAGACCAUAGCAGAUGUACCAAUGGGCCCCACCAGGUAUGCCCACAUCCUUUUCCAGGGAUCAAUGAGACCACAUAAUUUUUCAUGCACUCAACACUGUUGUUCUCCAUUCAACUCUAUCAUGCACAAUGCUCUUACAUGUUGCAGUCAUUCCUCUCUCACUCAGUGCUCCCUUCACACAGUUCAUCUACUCCAGGCAAAAAAAUUGUCUCUAUGCUAGAUAUUUUUCAAUGGUUUUCAGGUUUGUUUUGAGACUUGCAUAGCUGUAAUGCCAUGCAGCAGCCAUACAUAUUUUGAGGUAACUGUGUGGUAAAGGUUUAGUCAAUGUGUUGAUACAGUAGGGUACAUAAUUGUGCACUAGUGCUUCAGUGCUUCAUGGAUGUAUUCAUUGAAACAGCUGACUCUUUAUUAUCAUGAUUUAUGAUCAUUAUUUGCCAGCUUUUAGUGAGUGAAUCUUUGUUAAAGGUACAAGUUGGUGUGCUAGAAGAUGAUUCUUGAUAUGUUACAUGGGAAAAAAUAACAGAUAUACU
Scylla paramamosain (green mud crab) is the source of this 1569-nucleotide long non-coding RNA. RefSeq lists it as uncharacterized. The record is from RefSeq and is a predicted model, not a curated record. Lineage: Eukaryota; Metazoa; Arthropoda; Malacostraca; Decapoda; Portunidae. The transcript is spliced from 3 exons.